Molecule: long non-coding RNA, 784 nt
Organism: Cyprinus carpio (common carp)
Lineage: Eukaryota; Metazoa; Chordata; Actinopteri; Cypriniformes; Cyprinidae
Source: Ensembl
GAAUAGUAUAAGAAUGCUAACUGGCCUUACAAAAAAGUACCAUAGUGACCACAGUUACCACUGAAAUACCAUUUAUAUAUGUUUUAUUACAUGUUGUUACUAAAUUAAGUUAACUGUGGUAACUUCAAAAUGGUAACUUUACACCUACUCUCGUGAAAACGACAGAAAGGUUAAUUUAGUUAAUUAUAAUCGGACACAUACUUAAGGGAGAUGAGAAAAGAAAGAGCCACUAAAUCGUGGUGCGAGUAGACGUCACCGAAGUGGUCGGAAACGUUCUUUCUCUAGUUCCGCAGGUGACGUCAUGUGUAGGCGUCACGGGGAAUUUAGUGUAACCACAGAGACUGCACCGUGCUCUGAUUGGUCGGCGCAUUAUGUGCUGGGCGGAGUCAAUAUACAUCGGAUGGGGACCCAUCGUACUAAUCUGAGAAUCAGUCUCCACUUUCCAGCACUCUUCACAGAGAACCACAGGAUGUCUGCAGCAAACUGUUCAGAGCUGGAUCUGGAGCUGGGAGACUUGCUGCAGGAGUUUAAUGAUGUGGUGGAGGAGCUGAGCACACCUCACGCCUCUGAACAUGUGCUGGGAGAUGUUCAGAGACACACAGCAGCGACUGAUGGAGACGACUCAGACUACUGCAGCGAAGCUUCGCUGGUAAACAGCUUGAAUGUCAGUCAAGAGGAGCUCAACAUCUCAAGCAUGACUACAGCCUCAAAAGCCAGGCUCGGGGACACCAGUGACCUACAGAGCUUCAUUGAAAACCUGGAUAGAGAGCUUGCAGAGAUGUGA